CGAGGUGUGACGAAGAGAAUCAUUCGGAAUUUUGAAUUCCAUAGAUUUGUGUUCACAAACAUGAUAUCUUAAACCAGCUACUUCUGACCCGG
This 92-nucleotide small nucleolar RNA is filed under the name Hordeum vulgare subsp. vulgare (domesticated barley). RNAcentral describes it as "Small nucleolar RNA R12". It matches the Rfam family "Small nucleolar RNA R12". From Rfam's summary of the family: snoR12 is a C/D box small nucleolar RNA, which acts as a methylation guide for 25S ribosomal RNA in plants. snoR12 has been alternatively named snoZ44 in Arabidopsis and snoZ131 in rice. Lineage: Eukaryota; Viridiplantae; Streptophyta; Magnoliopsida; Poales; Poaceae. The record is from Rfam by way of RNAcentral.